GAUGAAGAACGUAGCGAAAUGCGAUAAGUAGUGUGAAUUGCAGAAUUCAGUGAAUCAUCGAAUCUUUGAACGCACAUUGCGCCCCUUGGUAUUCCAUGGGGCAUGCCUGUUCGAGCGUCAUUUGUACCUUCAAGCUCUGCUUGGUGUUGGGUGUUUGUCUCGCCUCUGCGUGUAGACUCGCCUCAAAACAAUUGGCAGCCGGCGUAUUGAUUUCGGAGCGCAGUACAUCUCGCGCUUUGCACUCAUAACGACGACGUCCAAAAGUACAUUUUUACACUCUUGACCUCAAAUCAGGUAAGAAUACCCGCUGAACUUAAGCAUAUCAAUAAGCGGAGGA
Molecule: unclassified non-coding RNA, 337 nt
Filed under: soil metagenome
Description: partial contains 5.8S ribosomal RNA, internal transcribed spacer 2, and large subunit ribosomal RNA
Rfam family: 5.8S ribosomal RNA (bases 1-120)
Source: RNAcentral